UACGGGGGGGGCAAGCGUUGUUCGGAAUUACUGGGCGUAAAGGGCUCGUAGGUGGCCAACUAAGUCAGACGUGAAAUCCCUCGGCUUAACCGGGGAACUGCGUCUGAUACUGGAUGGCUUGGGUUCGGGAGAGGGAUGCGGAAUUCCAGGUGUAGCGGUGAAAUGCGUAGAUAUCUGGAGGAACACCGGUGGCGAAGGCGGCAUCCUGGACCGGCAUUGACGCUGAGGCGCGAAAGCCAGGGGAGCAAACGGG
Molecule: ribosomal RNA, 253 nt
Filed under: uncultured bacterium
Lineage: Bacteria
Description: partial 16S ribosomal RNA
Rfam family: Bacterial small subunit ribosomal RNA
Source: RNAcentral